UCAAGCGAACAAGGGCGCAGGGCGAAUGCCUUGGCACUGGGAGCCGAUGAAAGACGUGAUAAGCUGCGAUAAGCUUCGGGGAGCUGCAAAUAAGCAUUGAUCCGGAGAUUUCUGAAUGAGGAAACUCACCUGGGUUCAUACUCAGGUACGUUAUACUGAACUUAAAAAUAGGUAUAUCGAGGGAACCGCCUGAACUGAAACAUCUAAGUAGGGCGAGGAAGAGACAUCAAACGAGAUUCCGUAAGUAGUGGCGAGCGAACGCGGAAGAGGGCAAACCGGGAGUAGAAAUACUUCCGGGGUACGGACUGCUUUUAGGACUUAAUCUGUUAACCGAACGGCAUGGGAAGGCCGGUCAGAGAGUGUGAGAACCACGUAGGUGAAAAUGAUGAGAGCUGAGCGAUUUCCAGAGUACGGCCAGACACGUGAAACCUGGUCGGAAGAUGGGGGGACCACCCUCCAACCCUAAAUACUACCCAGUGACCGAUAGCGUAUAGUACUGUGAAGGAAAGGUGAAAAGCACCCCGGGAGGGGAGUGAAACAGUCUCUGAAACCGUGCGCCUACAAUCCGUCGGAGCCCUUUUGUGGGGUGACGGCGUGCCUAUCGAAAAAUGAGUCUGCGAGUCAGUGGCACGUGGCGAGCGUAACCCGUGUGGGGUACGCGUAGCGAAGGCGAGUCUCAAAAGGCGUUUUGAGUCGCGCGCCCUGGACCCGAAGCGGGAUGAUCUAGCCCUGGGCAGGUUGAAGCGCGGGUAAGACCGCGUGGAGGACCGAACCCACCUGGGUUGAAAACCGGGGGGAUGACCUGGGGCUAGGGGUGAAAGGCCAAUCAAAUUCCGUGAUAGCUGGUUCUCUCCGAAAUGCAUUUAGGUGCAGCGUCGGUUGAUUGCAUCGCGGGGGUAGAGCUACUGGAUGCUUGAGGGCCCGCAUCGGGUACCGACAGCAGCCAAACUCCGAAUACCGGUGACGCGUAUCCCGGCAGUGAGUCGGCGGGGGAUAAGCUUCGUCGUCGAAAGGGAAACAGCCCAGACCGUCGUCUAAGGUCCCGAAGCGUGUGCUAAGUGGGAAAGGAUGUGGAGUCGCAUAGACAGCCAGGAGGUUGGCUCAGAAGCAGCCACCCUUGAAAGAGUGCGUAACAGCUCACUGGUCUAGUGGUUCCGCGCCGACAAUGUAGCGGGGCUCAAGCACACCACCGAAGACGCGGCAGUAUUUUGUACUGGGUAGGAGAGCGUCCCAUGAGGGGCGAAGCGGCCGUGUGAACGCGCCGUGGACUUCAUGGGAGUGAGAAUGCAGACAUGAGUAGCGAGAGACGGGUGAAGAUCCCGUCCGCUGGAUGACCAAGGGUUCCAGGGCCACGUUCAUCGUCCCUGGGUGAGUCGGGUCCUAAGGCGAGGCCGACAGGCGUAGUCGAAUGGAUGAACGGGUCGAUAUUCCCGUACCGGCUUUCAGCCGCCAAAACCGAGGCUUGGAGUACUAACCUCCGGGUCCGGGCUUACUGCUCCUUCGGGGGCGGGAUGCCCUGGCCUGUUGGGACCGAUCCUUGUAGUAGGUCAGCGCAGGAGUGACGCAGAAGGGUAGCCGGCCGCGGAGGUGGUCUUCCGUGGUCAAGCACGCAGGGCGUGGGACAGGCAAAUCCGUCCCGCAUGGGUCCGAGGUGCGAUGAUGGGGGCCUUAUGGCCCGAUAUCCGGUGAUCCCGGCUGCCGAGAAAAGCUUCGGCGUCAGGCUCAAAGCCGCCCGUACCCCAAACCGACACUGGUGGUCAGGUAGAGAAUACCAAAGCGAUCGAGCGAAUCCUGGUCAAGGAACUCGGCAAAUCACUCCCGUUCCUUCGGUUUAAGGGAGACCCCCGAUGGUGAACACACUUGCUGUGGGAGCUUUUGGGGGUGGCACAGACCAGGGGGUAGCGACUGUUUACCAAAAACACAGGUGCAUGCGAAGGCGCAAGCCGCUGUAUAUGCACUGACGCCUGCCCGGUGCCGGAAGGUUAAGAGGAUCCGUCAGCCUUCGGGUGAAGCGGUGAAUUCAAGCCCCGGUAAACGGCGGUGGUAACUAUAACCAUCCUAAGGUAGCGAAAUUCCUUGUCGGGUAAGUUCCGACCUGCACGAAUGGCGUAACGACUUCCCCACUGUCUCGACCAGGAGCUCGGCGAAAUUGCAGUACGAGUAAAGAUGCUCGUUAAGCGCAGAAGGACGAAAAGACCCCGGGACCUUUACUAUACCUUGGUAUUGGCAUUCGGUGUGGAUUGUGUAGCAUAGGCGGGAGGCCGAGAGGCGCGGUCGCCAGAUCGCGCGGAGCCGUAA
RNAcentral lists this ribosomal RNA (2298 nucleotides) under human gut metagenome. RNAcentral describes it as "bacterial LSU rRNA". It matches the Rfam family "Bacterial large subunit ribosomal RNA", at positions 3 to 2191 of the family's 2925-position model. The record is from RNAcentral.